CAGUCGCCGCGGUAAUACGUAGGUGGCAAGCGUUGUCCGGAAUUAUUGGGCGUAAAGGGCUCGCAGGCGGUUUCUUAAGUCUGAUGUGAAAGCCCCCGGCUCAACCGGGGAGGGUCAUUGGAAACUGGGAAACUUGAGUGCAGAAGAGGAGAGUGGAAUUCCACGUGUAGCGGUGAAAUGCGUAGAGAUGUGGAGGAACACCAGUGGCGAAGGCGACUCUCUGGUCUGUAACUGACGCUGAGGAGCGAAAGCGUGGGCAGCGAACAGGAUUAGAUACCCCCGUAGUCCCUGUCUCUUAUAC
This 301-nucleotide ribosomal RNA is filed under the name uncultured bacterium. Its description in RNAcentral is "partial 16S ribosomal RNA". It matches the Rfam family "Bacterial small subunit ribosomal RNA", at positions 509 to 807 of the family's 1533-position model. The record is from RNAcentral.